RNAcentral lists this unclassified non-coding RNA (405 nucleotides) under soil metagenome. Its description in RNAcentral is "partial contains 5.8S ribosomal RNA, internal transcribed spacer 2, and large subunit ribosomal RNA". The stretch from base 1 to 121 matches the Rfam family "5.8S ribosomal RNA", at positions 35 to 154 of the family's 154-position model. The record is from RNAcentral.
GAUGAAGAACGCAGCGAAAUGCGAUAAGUAAUGUGAAUUGCAGAAUUCAGUGAAUCAUCGAAUCUUUGAACGCACCUUGCGCCCUUUGGCCAUUCCGAAGGGCAUGCCUGUUUGAGUAUCAUGAACACCUCAACUCUUUAUGGUUUUCCAUGAUGAGCUUGGACUCUGGGGGUUUUGCUGGCUCAAAGUCGGCUCCUCUAAAAUGAAUCAGCUUACCAGUGUUUGGUGGGUAUCAUGGGUGUGAUAACUAUCUACGCUUGUGGUUUUUCCACCAGGUAACCUUCAGCAGUGGAGGUUCGCUGGAGCUCAUAGAUGUCUCUCCUCAGUGAGGACAGCCCUUUGAAUGUUUGAUCUCAAAUCAGGUAGGACUACCCGCUGAACUUAAGCAUAUCAAUAAGCGGAGGA